CCGACCCAUUUUUUAGAAAUAGAAAGCAUACAAUCGCCGGGGUUUUUUUGGACAUACAAGUGUCCUUCGUUUAUUUGUCAGGAAAUGUGAAUGUUACCAAAUUGAAAAGCAAUCAAGUACUAAAUAGACACUCCCUAAUUUUAAGAUGAUUUUUAACCUAGCUUUUUCUGUUUAGUGUUGGUUUAGCUUACUUAGCUUUUAUAUUUGAACAAUCAGGUUCACAAAUAGAUACCAACCUAGACACGAGCUGGAUAAACCCUAUCUGAUUUUGUUUUCUCCACUUGAGAUUUGCAUGGGAGGUUGCAUUGCCCGGAGGAAAGGCAGAGGAGGGUGAUGCUGAUGAUGCAGCAACAACAUUAAGGGAGGUAAAGGAGGAGAUUGGGCUUGAUCCAGCCUUGGUCACUCUCGUUUCCUCGCUUGAGCACUUCUUG
This 431-nucleotide long non-coding RNA is filed under the name Triticum aestivum (bread wheat). RNAcentral's name for it is "long non-coding RNA (TAES_LNC023801)". The record is from RNAcentral. Lineage: Eukaryota; Viridiplantae; Streptophyta; Magnoliopsida; Poales; Poaceae.